CCACGCCGUAAACGAUGUCGAUUUGGAGGUUGUGCCCUUGAGGCGUGGCUUCCGGAGCUAACGCGUUAAAUCGACCGCCUGGGGAGUACGGCCGCAAGGUUAAAACUCAAAUGAAUUGACGGGGGCCCGCACAAGCGGUGGAGCAUGUGGUUUAAUUCGAUGCAACGCGAAGAACCUUACCUGGUCUUGACAUCCACAGAACUUAGCAGAGAUGCUUGGUGCCUUCGGGAACUGUGAGACAGGUGCUGCAUGGCUGUCGUCAGCUCGUGUUGUGAAAUGUUGGGUUAAGUCCCGCAACGAGCGCAACCCUUAUCCUUUGUUGCCAGCGGUCCGGCCGGGAACUCAAAGGAGACUGCCAGUGAUAAACUGGAGGAAGGUGGGGAUGACGUCAAGUNAUCAUGGCCCUUACGACCAGGGCUACACACGUGCUACAAUGGCAUAUACAAAG
RNAcentral lists this ribosomal RNA (448 nucleotides) under Klebsiella pneumoniae. Its description in RNAcentral is "bacterial SSU rRNA". It matches the Rfam family "Bacterial small subunit ribosomal RNA", at positions 795 to 1244 of the family's 1533-position model. The record is from RNAcentral. Lineage: Bacteria; Pseudomonadati; Pseudomonadota; Gammaproteobacteria; Enterobacterales; Enterobacteriaceae.